GUAGUCCAUGCCGUAAACGUUGGGCGCUAGGUGUGGGGUCCAUUCCACGGAUUCCGUGCCGCAGCUAACGCAUUAAGCGCCCCGCCUGGGGAGUACGGCCGCAAGGCUAAAACUCAAAGGAAUUGACGGGGGCCCGCACAAGCGGCGGAGCAUGCGGAUUAAUUCGAUGCAACGCGAAGAACCUUACCAAGGCUUGACAUGCGCGGUGGAAUCCCAGAGAUGGGGUGUCAUUUAGUUGGUCGCGUACAGGUGGUGCAUGGUUGUCGUCAGCUCGUGUCGUGAGAUGUUGGGUUAAGUCCCGCAACGAGCGCAACCCUCGUUCCAUGUUGCCAGCACGUUAUGGUGGGGACUCAUGGGAGACUGCCGGGGUCAACUCGGA
RNAcentral lists this ribosomal RNA (379 nucleotides) under uncultured bacterium. Its description in RNAcentral is "bacterial SSU rRNA". It matches the Rfam family "Bacterial small subunit ribosomal RNA", at positions 790 to 1167 of the family's 1533-position model. The record is from RNAcentral.